AUGGCGAAUCCGACCAUUGUGCUACUGCCGGUCUGGGGCGCCGGCCACUUCAUGCCCAUGCUACAGGCCGGGAAGCAGCUACUCGCCAGCAGCAGCCGGCCCCUGUCGCUCACGGUGCUCCUCAUGCCGGCGCCGACAGCGCAGGCUGCGUCCGACAUCUCCGAGCACGUACGCCGGGAGGAAGCGGCAGGCGCCGUGGACAUCCGCUUCCACCAUCUCCCGGACGUGAAGCUCCCGACGGACCACUCGGGCAUCGAGGAGUUCCUCUCCCGCGCAGUGCAGCUCCACGUGCCCCAUCUCCGCGCAGCUAUAAUUGGCUUGACCUGUCCGGUGGCCGCGCUCGUCGUCGACAUAUUCUGCACGCCGGCGCUAGACGUGUCCGGCGAGCUUGCCGUGCCGUCCUACGUGUACUACACCUCCAGCGCUGCGAUGCUGUCACUCCUCUUGCGCUCGCCCGCUCUGGACGACGAGGUGGUUGUUGAGUUCGAGGAGAUGGAAGGUGCUCUGGACUUGCCCGGCCUCCCGCCGGUGCCGCCGCCCGUCCUCCCGGGGACCUUGCUGGAACGGAAGAGUCCGACCUACAAGUGGUUCGUGUACACCGGCAGGCGCUACGUGGAAGCCAGCGGCAUCAUCGUCAACACGGCAGCCGAGCUGGAGCCUCGCGUCCUUGCAGCCAUCGCCCGCGCCCCGGCCGUGUACCCUAUCGGCCCAGUGCUGGCGCUGACGCCACCCGCUCACGCCGAGGAGGAGGAGCAGCCGCACCACGAGUGCCUGCGGUGGCUCGACGCGCAGCCUCCGGCGUCCGUGCUGUUCCUCUGCUUCGGGAGCAAAGGAUUCCUGACCAAGCCGCAGGCGCACGAGAUAGCGCGGGGCCUGGAGCGCAGCGGCCACCACUUCCUGUGGGUGCUCCUUGGGCUGCCGGUGGACAUCUCGCGCGGCGCACAAGACCCCAGCGACGCGAACCUGGCGGAGCUUCUCCCGGAGGGUUUCUUGGGGGCGACAAAGGAAAGAGGGCUCGUGUGGCCCAAGAGGGCGCCGCAGAAGGAGAUACUGGCGCACGCCUCCGUGGGGGGCUUCGUCACCCACUGCGGCUGGAACUCCGUCCUGGAGAGUCUGUGGUUCGGCGUGCCGAUGCUGCCGUGGCCGCUGGGCGCGGAGCAGCAUUUCAACGCCUUCACGUCGGUCUGCGACAUGGGCGUGGGCGUGCCGCUGACAGUGGACAGGAAACGGGACAACUUCGUGGAGGCGGCGGAGCUGGAGCGAGCGGUGAGGUUCCUGAUGGGCGGUGGCGAGGAAGGGAGGAAGGCGAAGGAGAAGGCCAUGGAAAUGAUGGUGGUCUGCCGCAAGGCAGUGGACCAUACUGGGUCCUCUUGCGCUUCGAUGAGGAGGUUGUGUGAGGAUCUACUCGGAGGAGCGGUGGUGUUGCCCAACGUGUGA
RNAcentral lists this ribosomal RNA (1437 nucleotides) under Triticum aestivum (bread wheat). RNAcentral's name for it is "partial small subunit ribosomal RNA". Lineage: Eukaryota; Viridiplantae; Streptophyta; Magnoliopsida; Poales; Poaceae. The record is from RNAcentral.